CCCGGCGGCGAUAGCGCGGUGGUCCCACCUGACCCCAUGCCGAACUCAGAAGUGAAACGCCGUAGCGCCGAUGGUAGUGUGGGGUCUCCCCAUGUGAGUAGGGAACUGCCAGGC
Molecule: ribosomal RNA, 114 nt
Filed under: Klebsiella ornithinolytica
Lineage: Bacteria; Pseudomonadati; Pseudomonadota; Gammaproteobacteria; Enterobacterales; Enterobacteriaceae
Source: RNAcentral